This 107-nucleotide small nuclear RNA is filed under the name Balaenoptera musculus (blue whale). Lineage: Eukaryota; Metazoa; Chordata; Mammalia; Artiodactyla; Balaenopteridae. The record is from RNAcentral.
GUGCUCACUUCGGCAGCACGUAUACUAAAAUUGGAACGAUACAGAGAAGAUUAGCAUGGCCCCUGCACAAGGAUGACAUGCAAAUUCGUGAAGCAUUCCAUCUUCUU